UAGUCCACGCCGUAAACGAUGAGCACUAGAUAGUUGUCCAUUUAAGGAUUUGGUGGCGCAGCUAACGCGAUAAGUUGACCGCCUGGGGAGUACGCCGGCAACGGUAGAACUCAAAGGAAUUGACGGGGGCCCGCACAAGCGGUGGAGCAUGUGGUUUAAUUCGAUGCGACGCGAAGAACCUUACCAUCCCUCGACAUCCUCAGAAUGAUCUGUAAUCGAUCAGUGCCUUCGGGAACUGAGUGACAGGUGCUGCACGGCUGUCGUCAGCUCGUGUCGUGAGAUGCUGGGUUAAGUCCCGCAACGAGCGCAACCCCUAUCUAUAGUUGCCAGCACGUAAUGGUGGGAACUCUAUAGAGACUGCCGGUGAUAAGCCGGAGGAAGGUGGGGACGACGUCGAGUCAUCAUGGCCCUUACGGGAUGGGCUACACACGUGCUACAAUGGUGCAUACAGAGGGUCGCCAACCAGCGAUGGGGGAGCGUAAU
RNAcentral lists this ribosomal RNA (483 nucleotides) under uncultured bacterium. RNAcentral's name for it is "bacterial SSU rRNA". It matches the Rfam family "Bacterial small subunit ribosomal RNA", at positions 791 to 1273 of the family's 1533-position model. The record is from RNAcentral.